This 468-nucleotide ribosomal RNA is filed under the name uncultured bacterium. RNAcentral's name for it is "partial 16S ribosomal RNA". It matches the Rfam family "Bacterial small subunit ribosomal RNA", at positions 28 to 507 of the family's 1533-position model. The record is from RNAcentral.
GACGAACGCUGGCGGCGUGCUUAACACAUGCAAGUCGAACGGUGAUGCUCCAGCUUGCUGGAGUGGAUCAGUGGCGAACGGGUGAGUAACACGUGAGCAACCUGCCCCAGACUCUGGAAUAAGCGCUGGAAACGGCGUCUAAUACUGGAUACGAAACUGGCCCGCAUGGGCAUGGUUUGGAAAGUUUUUCGGUUUGGGAUGGGCUCGCGGCCUAUCAGCUUGUUGGUGAGGUAAUGGCUCACCAAGGCGACGACGGGUAGCCGGCCUGAGAGGGCGACCGGCCACGCUGGGACUGAGACACGGCCCAGACUCCUACGGGAGGCAGCAGUGGGGAAUAGUGAACGAUGGGCGAAAGCCUGAUGCAGCGACGCCGCGUGAGGGAUGACGGCCUUCGGGUUGUAAGCCUCUUUCAGCAGGGAAGAAGCGAAAGUGACGGUACCUGCAGAAGAAGCACCGGCUAACUACGUG